CAUACCACUUGUUGCCUCGGCGGAUCAGCCCGCUCCCGGUAAAACGGGACGGCCCGCCAGAGGACCCCUAAACUCUGUUUCUAUAUGUAACUUCUGAGUAAAACCAUAAAUAAAUCAAAACUUUCAACAACGGAUCUCUUGGUUCUGGCAUCGAUGAAGAACGCAGCAAAAUGCGAUAAGUAAUGUGAAUUGCAGAAUUCAGUGAAUCAUCGAAUCUUUGAACGCACAUUGCGCCCGCCAGUAUUCUGGCGGGCAUGCCUGUUCGAGCGUCAUUUCAACCCUCAAGCACAGCUUGGUGUUGGGACUCGCGUUAAUUCGCGUUCCCCAAAUUGAUUGGCGGUCACGUCGAGCUUCCAUAGCGUAGUAGUAAAACCCUCGUUACUGGUAAUCGUCGCGGCCACGCCGUUAAACCCCAACUUCUGAAUGUUGACCUCGGAUCAGGUAGGAAUACCCGCUGAACUUAA
This 464-nucleotide ribosomal RNA is filed under the name fungal sp. KL-2011. Its description in RNAcentral is "eukaryotic LSU rRNA". The stretch from base 119 to 272 matches the Rfam family "5.8S ribosomal RNA". The record is from RNAcentral. Lineage: Eukaryota; Fungi.